Molecule: long non-coding RNA, 1407 nt
Organism: Erigeron canadensis
Lineage: Eukaryota; Viridiplantae; Streptophyta; Magnoliopsida; Asterales; Asteraceae
Exons: 2
Source: RefSeq, a predicted model, not a curated record
AUUCUAAUAAUGAGCAAAGAAGAAUACGCCACAACAUCAAAAAAAUUUUUAUUAACAAACCAGUUAGCUUAAGUUAUAUUGAACCCAACAUGAUCAUAUUAGUUUGGUAGUGGUGAAGUAACACGAUAAGGCAUAGUGGAUCCUAGUGAGGUUAGUUUUUUUAAUGUAUGUUUGAUGAAUACGAUAUCUUACUGAUUGGUGGUUUUGGUGGCUAAAGAUCUGGAGCUACGUCCCCUACAGUUUCCUUACUCUUUUUGGUAAGAAGUGGUUGUUAACCUGGCAGAUUCUUGGGCCACAUAUUGCCUUUGCUGGAAAGAACGUUCCCGAAAAUAUUAUAUCUAGCAUAUAGAGUUCAAAUAUGUAAGUCUCGAAUUGGUUUCUUUUUGUUUAGGCUUUUCUUUUUCUAAUAUAAAAGAUCAAAAGUUUUGGGACACAUAAUUCCACUUCUGUUGGUUCUCUUCCAAAAGAUGUCCCCAGAAGCAUCAUACCAUAAAAUAAUUUCAAACUUUAUUGAUCUUUUAUUCGUCAAUUUAUCUAUUAUUUUCCAUUAAAGAUUACAUGCUUUUAUAGAUCUUCUUUAGGCUUGAUCCAUAUAUCCCUCUAUCUAUUGGUAGGUUUAUCAUGAUAUUAUGUUUUACUUUAAUGGUUCCAUUAAGUGGUACACUAAUAGGGUAUUAGGGUGCUGAUUCAUUUAGUGGGUGUUUUCUUUUGCUCUUUCUUUAAAGCAAAGGAGGGUUUUCAUAAUUAAAGGUUUUAGUUUAUGCGGAUGCAGGAGGACCACGCGUCUACGGCUAGAUUUUAUUUUCACUUUAGAUUGAUUUCCCUUUUUGUUUGUGUUAGAUUAUGUUGUUUGAUACAAUAUAUGGUUUUUUUUCCUUUUAGUGGCCAUGCACAUAGGUUUAGAAGUCUUUUGUUGGGUGCUUUCUUGAGUAGGAGCAACAUAGGACUGAAAUGGAUUUGCAUGAUUGGAAGCUUUUCUUGGAUGGACCCUAAUUGUGUAUGCUGACUGCAGAUUGUGCUGAAAAUUGGCUAGUUUACCUGAUGUAUAUUGUUGUGCGUGUUGGUGGGAUGUGUGCUUCUAUUGCUACUUGUGCGCGAAUGUGUAUCAACAAAAGUUGUAGAUAUGAACGAUGGGAACGUAUAAUAUGGACACAAUUAUAAGCAGAACUGAAUACACUCCGCAAGAAAGAGAGAGGGGGGGGGGGGGGGGGUUGGUGCAGUCCCGAACCUGAUAAACUAUAUUUCCCCCCUCUUAUAAUUCUAGUGUAGUUUAGUUUAAAUUUCAUAUAGAUCUGUAUUUAGAGCCCCUGAUUUCACCUGUAAAUCUUGAUAAUUUAACAACUCUGGCGGCACCUGUAAAUCUUGAUGAUUUCACCUAUGGGUUUCUAUGUUUUGUUCCGAGUUUAA